AGCAUACACAUCAGCGAGUAAGGAGCAAUGGGGAUCAUUGUAAGUGGGACCACCAGGAUAUUCUUGGACUUUUAACUUCCUGCAUUGCAACAUUGUAAGUGUGUACAGGCCUAAAGCUGAGAAAUUUUUGUGUGUUUCAUUUUAUGUUUUUCCUUCCCAUAGGAUUCAUAGUUCUAUGCUAUCGAUUGUCUAACAUAAAUGAAGUUGUUUUUCAUAUGCUUUUUAUCAGUUUUCUAAUUGUUUAUGAGUGGAAGGAUAGUCCAAAAUGGUUAGUCCAUUA
Molecule: long non-coding RNA, 280 nt
Filed under: Homo sapiens (human)
Lineage: Eukaryota; Metazoa; Chordata; Mammalia; Primates; Hominidae
Description: HSALNT0319088
Source: RNAcentral